This 500-nucleotide ribosomal RNA is filed under the name uncultured bacterium. RNAcentral's name for it is "partial 16S ribosomal RNA". It matches the Rfam family "Bacterial small subunit ribosomal RNA", at positions 30 to 523 of the family's 1533-position model. The record is from RNAcentral.
AUUGAACGCUGGCGGCAGGCCUAACACAUGCAAGUCAAGCGGAUGAGAGGAGCUUGCUCCUCGAUUCAGCGGCGGACGGGUGAGUAAUGCCUAGGAAUCUGCCUAGUAGUGGGGGACAACGUUUCGAAAGGAACGCUAAUACCGCAUACGUCCUACGGGAGAAAGUGGGGGAUCUUCGGACCUCACGCUAUUAGAUGAGCCUAGGUCGGAUUAGCUAGUUGGUAGGGUAACGGCCUACCAAGGCGACGAUCCGUAACUGGUCUGAGAGGAUGAUCAGUCACACUGGAACUGAGACACGGUCCAGACUCCUACGGGAGGCAGCAGUGGGGAAUAUUGGACAAUGGGCGAAAGCCUGAUCCAGCCAUGCCGCGUGUGUGAAGAGGGCCCUCGGGUCGUAAAGCACUUUAAGUUGGGAGGAAGGGCUUACAGCGAAUACCUGUGAGUUUUGACGUUACCGACAGAAUAAGCACCGGCUAACUUCGUGCCAGCCGCCGCGGUAA